AUGGCGCAGCAAUGGAAUAUUCCGGACGUCCGACGACUGAUGAAUACAGGGCGAGAGUGGUUGCUUCAAGUGCUAGCGGAGUUGUCGGAGGAGAAGCGUUUGUACACGCUCAUGACCAUUUGGCGAUGCUGGCACGUGAGAAAUGAGAUCGUCCAUCACAAACGGCCGCCACCAGUGGAGGCAUCGACCCGGUUUCUCUCCAGCUACAUAUGCUCCUUACUUGCUUUGCAGACCAAUCCCAAUGGUGACCAUGUUAAAGGCAAGAUGGUGACUGUACCUCAGUACAAGAGGCGUGCAUUAUCACAUGCGGGCGAGGUAGUAAAGAAAAGGCAGGGAUUGGACGCGCCGCCGGCGGGCGGCGUUAAGUAUUGA
RNAcentral lists this ribosomal RNA (372 nucleotides) under Triticum aestivum (bread wheat). RNAcentral's name for it is "partial small subunit ribosomal RNA". The record is from RNAcentral. Lineage: Eukaryota; Viridiplantae; Streptophyta; Magnoliopsida; Poales; Poaceae.